AUGAAGGCGAAGGUGGAGAGUGAAUAUUGGGAGAGGAAGAAGAGAGAAAUUUUAGCGAGUUUUCUUGUGAUUCCUUUGAAGAGAAUGAAGAAUCCCCUUGAUAAAUCUGCUUGGUAUUUGGAAGUUGGCUUGGUUUUCGCAGCCAGCUUAGGCUUGGAAGCAGCAGGCUUCUUGUUUCUGAUUUUCUGUUUUCACGGAUAUACUGGUUUGUAA
This is a non-coding RNA of Vicia faba (fava bean), 213 nucleotides long. Lineage: Eukaryota; Viridiplantae; Streptophyta; Magnoliopsida; Fabales; Fabaceae. The record is from the annotation of a GenBank genome assembly.